AGGUCGUCGCCGCUCCCGAGCGCCGCCUGCCCCUGCCCCAAGUCUGACGACCAGCUGCAUGCUGGCCUGCUCCCCCUAUUGGAUUUCAUCGAUGGAAAAUGCAAUACCCCCUCAACUUCACAUUCUUCUGCCCGAUAGAGAUCACUGCAUUCAGCAAUAGAUAAGAAGAGUUUGAGAAGAUAAAUACUGAAAUUCUCGGUGUUUCAAUUGAUAGUGUGGUACAGACGUUCUUCGACUUUGACCAUUCCGAGGGAUUGUUGCUGCUUGAAUCCUUCACGGCGAUUUAUUCAAUUAGCUGAUGUGUGAUCACGCUAAAGACAGAAGGGUUAUACUUGUGCGAGGAGGAUAAGGAUGUCAAAACCAUGAAAUAAACAACCUCAUGACUGAGGUUAGGAAUUUUCAGCCUUUUUGAGAGAAAUGGUGUAUAUGGCCAAAAGAUGCAGCCUGAUCUUCUCUUUUGCUGAAGAUCUUUUGUUGAAAGUCCUUGAGGUUUCAUCGAUUGUAACCUUAAAUGUUCAUGUAUAUUUUCUGGUAGUAAAUUUGUGAUUUUGUAGGGGCUCCCCCCCCCCCCCCCCCACCACACACACUUUAGCGUUUUCUGUUGCUCUGAAUCUGUGGCUAAAGUUCUCUUGUCGUAAUUUGUACUCAGAAUUUGUAGGAGCCUACAUUCCCUUUUUCAGAAUUUGAACUUUUUUUUAUGUUGUUUCUUGUGGUAGAAACCUCUACCACAGCCAAAUCACACCAUUAAGAGAUUUUAAUGUACUUUCUUUUAUACUGCUUAAGACAACUACUUUUUACUUGUUAGGGAGGGAUUAAGUGAUCUUGCCAUAAAUUUAACUGUUUGGAUUUUCUGAAGGGUCAUUUUAUGAACGUUGAUGCAAUGGGAAUAUUUUGCUUCACGCUUACCGGAUGAUUGUUAACUGAU
Long non-coding RNA from Oryza brachyantha (malo sina), 925 nucleotides. RefSeq lists it as uncharacterized. The record is from RefSeq and is a predicted model, not a curated record. The transcript is spliced from 4 exons. NCBI's taxonomy places the organism in Eukaryota, Viridiplantae, Streptophyta, Magnoliopsida, Poales, Poaceae.